Molecule: ribosomal RNA, 492 nt
Filed under: uncultured bacterium
Lineage: Bacteria
Description: bacterial SSU rRNA
Rfam family: Bacterial small subunit ribosomal RNA
Source: RNAcentral
CAGGCCUAACACAUGCAAGUCGGACGGUAGCACAGAGGAGCUUGCUCCUCGGGUGACGAGUGGCGGACGGGUGAGUAAUGUCUGGGGAUCUGCCCGAUAGAGGGGGAUAACCACUGGAAACGGUGGCUAAUACCGCAUAACGUCGCAAGACCAAAGAGGGGGACCUUCGGGCCUCUCACUAUCGGAUGAACCCAGAUGGGAUUAGCUAGUAGGCGGGGUAACGGCCCACCUAGGCGACGAUCCCUAGCUGGUCUGAGAGGAUGACCAGCCACACUGGAACUGAGACACGGUCCAGACUCCUACGGGAGGCAGCAGUGGGGAAUAUUGCACAAUGGGCGCAAGCCUGAUGCAGCCAUGCCGCGUGUAUGAAGAAGGCCUUCGGGUUGUAAAGUACUUUCAGCGGGGAGGAAGGCGAUGUGGUUAAUAACCGCAUUGAUUGACGUUACCCGCAGAAGAAGCACCGGCUAACUCCGUGCCAGCAGCCGCGGUAAU